This 368-nucleotide ribosomal RNA is filed under the name uncultured bacterium. RNAcentral describes it as "bacterial SSU rRNA". It matches the Rfam family "Bacterial small subunit ribosomal RNA", at positions 29 to 416 of the family's 1533-position model. The record is from RNAcentral.
AACGAACGCUGGCGGCAUGCCUAACACAUGCAAGUCGAACGGGAUCCUAGCUUGCUAGGUGAGAGUGGCGGACGGGUGAGUAACACGUGGGAAUCUGCCUUUUGGUUCGGGAUAACCGCGGGAAACUGCGGCUAAUACCGAAUGCCCUCGAGAGAGGAAAGAUUUAUCGCCAGAAGAGGAGCCCGCGUCCGAUUAGGUAGUUGGUGGGGUAAAGGCCUACCAAGCCGACGAUCGGUAGCUGGUCUGAGAGGAUGAUCAGCCACACUGGGACUGAGAUACGGCCCAGACUCCUACGGGAGGCAGCAGUGGGGAAUAUUGGACAAUGGGGGCAACCCUGAUCCAGCAAUGCCGCGUGAGUGAUGAAGGCC